Molecule: ribosomal RNA, 501 nt
Filed under: uncultured bacterium
Lineage: Bacteria
Description: bacterial SSU rRNA
Rfam family: Bacterial small subunit ribosomal RNA
Source: RNAcentral
GACGAACGCUGGCGGCGUGCCUAAUACAUGCAAGUCGAGCGGACGUUUUAUUGGUGCUUGCACCGAUUUAACGUUAGCGGCGGACGGGUGAGUAACACGUGGGCAACCUGCCCUGUAGAUUGGGAUAACUCCGGGAAACCGGGGCUAAUACCGGAUAAUACUUUUUAACUCAUGUUAGAAAGUUGAAAGAUGGUUCUGCUAUCGCUACAGGAUGGGCCCGCGGCGCAUUAGCUAGUUGGUGAGGUAACGGCUCACCAAGGCGACGAUGCGUAGCCGACCUGAGAGGGUGAUCGGCCACACUGGGACUGAGACACGGCCCAGACUCCUACGGGAGGCAGCAGUAGGGAAUCUUCCACAAUGGGCGAAAGCCUGAUGGAGCAACGCCGCGUGAGUGAAGAAGGAUUUCGGUUCGUAAAACUCUGUUGUAAGGGAAGAACAAGUACAGUAGUAACUGGCUGUACCUUGACGGUACCUUAUUAGAAAGCCACGGCUAACUACGUG